Molecule: ribosomal RNA, 332 nt
Filed under: uncultured eukaryote
Lineage: Eukaryota
Description: partial 18S ribosomal RNA
Rfam family: Eukaryotic small subunit ribosomal RNA
Source: RNAcentral
CCCUUAGAUGUUCUGGGCUGCACACGUGCUACACUGGCAGGUUCAGCGAGCUUCAUGCCCUGAUCUGAAAGGAAUGGGAAAUCUUUUCAAAACCUGCCGUGCUUGGGAUAGAUGUUUGCAAUUAUUCAUCUUCAACGAGGAUUGCCUUGUAAGCGCACGUCAUCAGCGUGCAUUGAAUACGACCCUGUAUUCUGUACACACCGCCCGUCGCUCCUACCGAUUGAAGUUUUCGGUGAGUUGACAGGAGGAUUUUUUUGAAACUGGUUCGCCAGUGGAAUUUAGAUCCAAAUGCCAACGAAUCGAUGGCUUUAGAGGAAGGAGAAGUCGUAACA